Molecule: long non-coding RNA, 492 nt
Filed under: Phascolarctos cinereus (koala)
Lineage: Eukaryota; Metazoa; Chordata; Mammalia; Diprotodontia; Phascolarctidae
Description: lncRNA (ENSPCIG00000037392.1)
Source: RNAcentral
GGAAGACCUCCACGGAGGGAGACAUCAGGGGCUGCCUGCGGGAUGCGCAGAGGGGACAACCUCGGCCAGGCGGGGUCUGGGACUCUAUCCAUGAGAAAAGAGAAGGGUGUCAAGUUGCUAAAACCAAGAGCCUAAGUUGGAGGAGAAAAACUGCUUAGUUGGAAUCAGUGGGUUCCUCCCACAGAUCUAUAUCUGGAAUCUAACUUCCUACCUCCCCUUUGAAGGGAAGAAGGUAAGAACUUCGUCUAAUCUAAUCAGAGGGAAAAGAUUGCUCUUAGUUUGGGGAAAGUGUUCUUAUCUGGUUAUCAUCCUUAAUCUGUUUAUCUAAUGAAAGCUCCUUUUUCUUCUUGUUGGAAACUAUCCCACCUUAACAAAGGACUGGGCAGAAAAAUAACGUCUUGUUUCUAAAGGAACUAAAAGGAGAUUUUCAAUAUACUUCCACAAUAAUAAGUCUUUAAUAAAGGAUUAUUGAUUGUUGAUUGAGACUUGAAG